AACGCUGGCGGCGUGCUUAACACAUGCAAGUCGAACGGAUUGUCAUUGAUAGCUUGCUAGAGAUGACAGUUAGUGGCGGACGGGUGAGUAACACGUGGAUAAUCUGCCUGACACAAUGGGAUAACACAGUGAAAACGGUGCUAAUACCAUAUACGCUCAUAACAUCGAUGAUGAGAUGAGGAAAGGGGAAACCCGGUGACAGAUGAGUCCGCGGCUGAUUAGCUAGUUGGUGGGGUAAUGGCUCACCAAGGCGACGAUCAGUAGCCGGCCUGAGAGGGUGAACGGCCACACUGGGACUGAGACACGGCCCAGACUCCUACGGGAGGCAGCAGUGGGGAAUUUUCCGCAAUGGACGAAAGUCUGACGGAGCAACGCCGCGUGAGUGAUGAAGGCCUUCGGGUUGUAAAACUCUGUCUUAUGGGAAGAAGAAAGUGACGGUACCAUAGGAGGAAGCCACGGCUAACUACGUGCCAGCAGCCGCGGUAAUACGUAGGUGGCGAGCGUUGUCCGGAAUCACUGGGCGUAAAGGGCGCGUAGGCGGUUAAUUAAGUCAGGUGUGAAAACUUUGGGCUCAACCCAGAGACUGCACCUGAUACUGGAUGACUUGAGUGCAGGAGAGGACAGUGGAAUUCCUAGUGUAGCGGUGAAGUGCGUAGAUAUUAGGAGGAACACCAGUGGCGAAGGCGGCUGUCUGAACUGUAACUGACGCUGAGGCGCGAAAGCGUGGGGAGCGAACAGGAUUAGAUACCCUGGUAGUCCACGCCGUAAACGAUGGGUACUAGGUGUAGGAGGUAUCGACCCCUUCUGUGCCGGAGUUAACACAAUAAGUACCCCGCCUGGGGAGUACGGCCGCAAGGUUGAAACUCAAAUGAAUUGACGG
RNAcentral lists this ribosomal RNA (880 nucleotides) under uncultured bacterium. RNAcentral describes it as "bacterial SSU rRNA". It matches the Rfam family "Bacterial small subunit ribosomal RNA", at positions 32 to 916 of the family's 1533-position model. The record is from RNAcentral.